UACGGAGGGUGCAAGCGUUGUCCGGAUUUAUUGGGUUUAAAGGGUGCGUAGGUGGCUUGUUAAGUCAGUGGUGAAAGACAGCCGCUCAACGGUUGAGGUGCCAUUGAUACUGACAGGCUUGAAGCAGACAGAGGCUGCCGGAAUGGAUGGUGUAGCGGUGAAAUGCAUAGAUAUCAUCCAGAACACCGAUUGCGAAGGCAGGUGGCUAUGUCUGACUUGACACUGAGGCACGAAAGCAUGGGGAGCAAACAGG
Molecule: non-coding RNA, 253 nt
Filed under: uncultured bacterium
Lineage: Bacteria
Also listed under: 2 other names
Description: partial 16S ribosomal RNA
Rfam family: Bacterial small subunit ribosomal RNA
Source: RNAcentral